Molecule: long non-coding RNA, 722 nt
Organism: Oryza sativa Japonica Group (Japanese rice)
Lineage: Eukaryota; Viridiplantae; Streptophyta; Magnoliopsida; Poales; Poaceae
Source: RefSeq, a predicted model, not a curated record
UAAUUACAAACAUCAUAAACAUUUGUAAAUGAUUAAUACGGGUUGAACCUUUUUUAUAGUUAGCUUCAAAAUUCUUUGCUCAAGAAAAUAGUCAUAAACAAGCACCCAAUCAUCGAUCAAACAUACCCUAUCCUUUUAACUAAGGAUGUCAAUGGUUACUGAAGGAAUAUAGGAUUUUCGUAAUAAUGAGCAUACAUAUUGCACGAGAAAAUGUCCAUACGAUAAAAUGUAAGCAUUAUUAAACUCUGUCGCAUAUGAAUCAAAGUAUCGGUACAAAGGUUCUUCAAUCAACUGUUUCAGCUCGUUGAGUCCUUUGAAGUUCCCGCACACACACACACAAAAGUUUAGGAAAUAUAUCAUCAAUUUCAAGAAGAAUGCCGGGGAGUAAUUAACUCCAGAAUGAUCUAUGUUAUCUAGAUCUCCAAGGCUAUAUGAGAUGAACCUAUCCAGUACCCACCAUAUUUGAGGAUAUACUGCAGUUCAAAGUGAUAACAUUUUCGGAUCCCUACACUGAAAGCCAGAACAUUGGUGCUGGCGGCAUCCAGUUAUGCGAUCUAUUAAUAAAGGCUGAUACAACAGUACCAGUCAAGAGAAUAGAUAAACUGUCUAGAAUUACAAAUUUGUAUACACAUCAGUAAACGGUUAAACAAGUGACCUGUUCGAAAUACUAGACAUGUACUGAAGUUAAAACUUAUGGAAUGAACAUUUGGAAUUGUGGAAUA